RNAcentral lists this ribosomal RNA (329 nucleotides) under uncultured eukaryote. RNAcentral's name for it is "partial 18S ribosomal RNA". It matches the Rfam family "Eukaryotic small subunit ribosomal RNA", at positions 1470 to 1796 of the family's 1831-position model. The record is from RNAcentral.
CCCUUAGAUGUUCUGGGCCGCACGCGCGCUACACUGAUGCAUUCAACGAGUCUAAAACCUGCUCUGAUAGGGGUGGGUAAUCUUUUGAAUGUGCAUCGUGAUUGGGAUAGAUGAUUGCAAUUUUUCAUCUUCAACGAGGAAUGCCUAGUAAACGCAAGUCAUCAGCUUGCAUUGAUUACGACCCUGCCCUUUGUACACACCGCCCGUCGCUCCUACCGAUUGAAUGAUCCGAUGAAUAUCAUGGAUUGAGGAUGCAAGUAGGUUCGCCUAUCUUCAUCUUCGAGAAGUGAAGUAAAUCUUAUCAUUUAGAGGAAGGAGAAGUCGUAACA